Molecule: long non-coding RNA, 1211 nt
Filed under: Lonchura striata (white-rumped munia)
Lineage: Eukaryota; Metazoa; Chordata; Aves; Passeriformes; Estrildidae
Description: domestica (Bengalese finch) lncRNA (ENSLSDG00000012396.1)
Source: RNAcentral
UGUGCGGGUUACACACCCGUUACACAUCUGUACCUGGGUGUAAAACGUUCUCCUGCUCAUCCCUGAGCUUUGCGUGCGGGUUACACACCCGUUACACAUCUGUACCUGGGUGUAAAACGUUCUCCUGCUCAUCCAAGCCUUGUGUGUGGGUUACACACCCGUUACACAUUUGUACCUGAGUGUAAAAGGUUCUCCUGCUCGUCCCCGGGCCUUGUGUGCGGGUUACACACUCGUUAAGGGUUUGCACCCAGGUGUAAAAGGUUCUCCUGCUCAUUCCUGGUCCUUGCGUGUGGGUUACACACUCGUUAAGGGUUUGCACGCUGGUUUAAAAGGUUCUCCUGCUCAUUCCUGGGCCUUGCGUGUGGGUUACACACUCGUUAAGGGUUUGCACGCUGGUUUAAAAGGUUCUCCUGCUCGUCCCUGGGCCUUACGUGUGGGUUACACACUCGUUAAGGGUUUGCACGCUGGUGUAAAAGGUUCUCCUGCUUGUCCCCGGGCCUUGUGUGCGGGUUACACACUCACUACGUGUUUGUACACCGGUGUAAAAGGCUCUCGCACUUCAUGGUCACCCAUGGCUCUCCAUGGUCAUCCAGGGUCCAUGGUCAUCCACAGCUCUGUGGUCAUCCAGGGUCCAUGGUCAUCCACAGCUCCGUGGUCACCCACAGCUCCGUGGUCACCCCCAGCUCCAUGGUCACCCACAGUUCUCCAUGGUCAUCCAGGGUCCAUGGUCACCCACAGUUCUCCAUGGUCACCCAGGGUCUGUGGUCAUCCAGGGUCCGUGGUCACCCCCAGCUCCAUGGUCACCCACAUCUCCAUGGUUGGUCACCCCCAUCCCUGUGGUCACCUCACCACUGUCACGCCAGCUUAGCUGCUGCUGGCUCCUCCUCUGCUGAUCUUGGAGGAUUUUUCCAAAACGGAAUCAUGGAAUCUUGGAAUUCCGGGAAUUUCUGGGCUGGAAGAGACCUCCGAGGUCAUCGGGUCCAGCCCAGCCCAACACCUCAAGCAAGGCCUGGCACCCAGUGCCACGCCCAGGCUUUUGGAACACCCCAGGGACGGUGACGCCACCACCCCCGGGCAGAACAUUCCAGAACUUCAUCACUCCCAUAAAGAACUUUCUCCUGACAUCCGACCGAGACUUCCCGCGGCACAGCUCAGAGCUGCGUCCUGGUGUUCACGAAACCCACCCGUGACACCGGGAGUGACACAACCCA